GAAAUAUUGAAUGACCAAUGUUCCCCUUUAACUGGCUGCUCUGCAUCCUGAUUGAGGAUCAGCACAUUUAUAUCCAAAGGAAAUCACAUCAUGGCUAAAACUAUUUACUGCUACAACAUUGUAAUUAGGAUCCGGUAGCUGGAAUCUUAAUUGCAUCCCUAGAAUUUUCAGCAAGGUAAAACUAUGAUCUCUUACUAUACCCAUGACUGUGGUCAAUGCAUUCCAUUGAUGAGUACUAAAUGCAAAACUUCUCUACCAUGUUACUCAUUGCAUGUCUGUAAGUACAUCAACAACUUUGCUUGAUGAAUUUGAGAUGACAAGAAAUUUCUGAUCGUAUACUGAGA
RNAcentral lists this long non-coding RNA (344 nucleotides) under Gallus gallus (chicken). The record is from RNAcentral. Lineage: Eukaryota; Metazoa; Chordata; Aves; Galliformes; Phasianidae.